UUCCACUCAUGCUUUUGUUUCGAACUUCUGCUUUCAACAAACUGAAUCCGUAACCUCAGGAGGACGUGAAGGAAAGUACAUAAAUGCAGUCAAGUUAGGAGAACUGCAAUGGCAAUCCUUAUGCCUUGUUGACAGAAUUUGAUAUCUGUUCAUGCAUCUGUCACUGCCUUGUCUAAUGCCGUUUUGCUGAGGAUCUCAGAAUACUUCAAAAACCUGAACUAAGCUAUGCACAUCAACCAUUACUAGAGUGCCUAUUAUGCUGAUGUAGAAGCUGAGGGUGAAAGAAGGUGAAAAAGAUGUCCACAAUGACUACAUAAGGAGUCAUGAUUUUUUUCAGGGUGGUGGGAAGAGCCUGCUCAUGCAUUCUCAUGGGAACACACCAAAAUCUUCCGAGUUUGGGAAGAGGCCCCUUUUCCUCCUCCGAUGUAUCUAGACCAGAUGUAGCACAGGGACCUCGUGGCGCAAAAGGAGCUCUCUCCGGCUGACGCAAAGCUGCUGCGGGUUUCCAUUGCUGGCAAGCUCUGCUACAACAGAGGGAGUUCAGUCACUUACAGCACCCAGCAGGUACAUCAUCAAAAUCAGUGUAUUGAAAUUGAAUGCUACAGAGAAGGUUGCCAGAAUGAUCAGAAGUAUGAUCUAGCAGCCACAAGAGGAAAGACUGAAUCCACUAGAACUGCUACAUCCCUGCCUGGAAAAGACUGAAAGGGUGAAGAACACAGAAUGAAGGUACACUCACUGCAACAGUGAAACAAGAAAUAUAAACUAAAGAAAAGUAAGAAAUUCAGCUACAAGCUAUACCUACCUGCCUGCCUCUUUAAGAAGAGCUGUAGUAAUAAAGUCUUUCUGAAGACACAGCUGUAGCAAACUAGCAAACAGGCAGUCACCUGAGACCAUGGAGCAGCCAGAGUAACACUUCCAGAUCAGAAUCUCGCAUAGUGAGGGACUGUAGAGACUUGCAGUGAGGAUGAGGAAAUACAGCUCCUGCAAUUUGCAUCCAGACAUCAGGAAGCCAUGCAUUACAAGAACAUUUCAUCUUCUGCCAGGGAUGAACACACAGAAAUCGACAGCCAAGAGUGACCUUUCUAUGAUUGAGUCUUUGAGGGCUCUGAAAAUGUAACCUGUGUUUGGGCCUGAAGGUCUUUGUUUUACUUCAAAUGGACUGUUGGAGAAGGAUGAGUAGAAAAAUUGGACCUGGGACUCUUGAGCUCUUACCUCUGCCUUGGGAACAGGGAUGGUGCAAGGUGCUGAGCCGGGGACCCAGGAGCCUGCAGGCCUUGCCCUGCCAAAGGAGGGCAGAAUUCGAUCUUCAUAGUUGUGAAGGGCUGACAGCACUAAAAGUAGAGUGGAGAGAAAAAGUACCAGGGCUACUUUGAUUUUUUGGAUCUGGAGCCAAAACAAAAUUCUUCCGUUCUCACCUCAUCCUGACCUGCAGAGUUCAUCCUUCCUGGAUUUCACAGGAGCUAGUGUUAUCUCUGCUUUUCUGGCCAAGGUUACAUUAGGUGGCUUCUGUUGUCAUAGUGGAGGAGAUAGAUCCAUGUAUGGUCAAACAAGGCUGACUUUCAAGGGUUAAAACACAGAAACUUUGGAUUCCUUAAUGACUUUCAGUAUGACUGUAGACCUCUGAUUUAACUUCUCCAUGCACUGAUCUCCCGAGUGUUUCAAGGGAAGGGUGUUCCUGCAUCACCUAUUGGAUGAAACAUCCUUUGAUACUGUUCAGAAAUCUUAGAAGCUGGAACACUUUGCUGACAGCUUUCCACAGAUUUCUGCCACAGAUUCUGAUUUAUAUUGCGUUGCUUAACCUGGAUGGAUUUCCCAGACUGCUCCCAACCGUGUGCGUGGCUGAGAUCCCUGCGAGAAGUCUCUGGUGGGAAGCUCGGGGCAGCUCUGAGCCCAGCCCGCUCUGGAUGGCACCUGCCUCAGCAUGGGAGACAGAUGUGAAUACAAACCGCUGCUUCUCCACAUCACUUACAUUUAACUUCCUUCCUGUUGAGAACAGGCUUAAUGAUGGUACUUUGAAGUCAGUAUUGCCCCAUCCUGCAAGACACUCCAUGCUUCACAACAGGUUUUCAGCAUCCCGAAUAUCAAGUAAGAUGAAUGGGGAAAAGGGCGUUCAGGAUGUCCUCAGACCCGGGCUGGGGAGAGCCGCAUCCUCCAUGCUCCGAGAGAGCGAACGCUGGCGCAGGAGGUGUGCGGGAUGCGGGCUCGUCAUCGGGACGGGCUCCCUGGCCUCUCCUCCUGCCAAUAAACCUUGAUGCAGGGGCUGGAGAAGCUCCUGUCAGUCCACUCAGCUCCAAAACCUGCUGCAGGACAACAAAACCCAGGGUCACAAGGCGAGAGAGGUAUUCAUCUAAUGCCGCAAGAAAAAGGCCUCGUUUUGUGAACAUGUUUUUUCAAUUUUUCUGCUAACCUUCUUCCCUUCUGUCUGUCUUCCCUGCAACGCACCCCCUGGCCCUUCACCUCCAUUCCCCAGCUGAGCCUUUCUGGAAUAUACUCUAUAUUUGUCUCUUGCUUCCCUGAACACCCAUUAUUAUGUAGAAUAAUAAUGCAGGAGCUCUGCUCGGCACCUCUGCUCAGUGGCUCCAAGUGGGUUGAAUUGUAGCCAGCGGCAGGGGGUGAUAAAUGUAGCGUAAGAUGCCUUUUCCACAGCAAACUGCAAAUUGCCUCGGCAGCACGGCCCACAAAAGGUUCCCGCGGAGCAAAUUUAUCUCCCAUUGUCGGCCCAGGGAGGAGAGCCGAGAGGACCAGGCGUUCUAUUUUUAAAAAGUCACAUUUGAUCUUGUUCAGGCUCAGAGUCCGGAGUAUUUUAAAGGACUUUUCACGGAAGAUGCAGGCCUGAGAAUGCUGCACAGAUAAAGGGAUUUAUUUUUAACAGCAGCCAGGGUUCAUGACCAUGUAAGCAUUUCAAUUUUAAGCCACUCAGUUUGAAUAAUAUAUUUUGCCAAAGUGAGUGUUAUGUCAUCUAAUAUCUUAUGGGUGGAAGGAGGGAUGGUGACUGGGGAAGGGGGAGAACAAGACCGUUAGAGAGAAAUUACCCUCUAAAGAUUAUCAUAUGCCCACUAAAAAAGGGAGGGGGGUGGAGAGAUACCACAGAGUUUAUCUACCCAUUCAGGAGUUCAUACUACACUUCCUCCCAUAUGGUUCAGCCCUGAGAUAGCAGCGUGAUGGACACUGUAGAAGAAUGUGAGGUGACUGAUAUAUAGUUGGAAACCUAGGGUGAUGGAUGAUAGAAAAAGAGAGGGGAACGUUUGGUGGUUGAUUGAUAGCAGCACCGCAGCUGAAGUAUCCACAAUUAAUGGUAUGAGUCACCCUGAUAUAUUAUAAUGUUAAAUACCUUUGCAUUUGAUGCUCACUUGUCAUGUUUCUACUAUACUGUCCUUCAAAUGCCAGGUCAUAAAUCAGAGGUGGCUAUUUAGUAUGAGUUUGCUGAACUUCUCCGCAGAUGGCCAGUGCUGAGGAGCGCGGGGCGACCGGGGCGGAGGAGCCCUCCGCGCCUCGCCUGAGCAUCCCCUGCUGCCGGCCUGCCUUGGGAUCCUCGCCUGCCUCUCAGCUGGGAUGCCUGAAUUUAUGAGUGUGUUUCCAGGAAUAUAUGCUCUGCUGCCCUUAAUUGUAUCCUUCAUUAGCACGCUAGAGUUAUUAUUUGCUGUAUAUUAAUUGUUAGUGUGCUCUGCGGUCGAAGCUCUGCUUUGCUGAGGAAGGGGCAAACAGAGCAGAACAGCUCACAGUCGUCUCUGAUCGAAAGAAAAAGGGUAGGAGGUAAAAGCCGAGGUCCCGAGGGGGUACGGUGAAGUGCUUGGGAAUACCUGGGGUGAAAGGAAAAGGAAGACUCGAAUCCCGGUAUCCUCAUGCUGUUCUAUUCCUUCUGUUUGUGCCAAAUCCCACUUUGAAAAUUCGCUUUGGUUGUGUUCACUUAACGUUAAAAUUAGAUUAGUCAUUUCAAAAUCUGACGUGCGCUUGCUGUCUACAUUUUCAAAGCAAAUUAGUAACUGCAAUGGAAUUAUUCUGGAUUUGGGAGUGUGUAAAUGAAACUGGAUUAACUCUCCUUGCCUCAGUGUACCUAUUUGUGAUAUGAUGUUAAGUAAAUACUUUAAUGCUGGUGUGAAGUCAGGCUUAAUUUAUUAAUGUCUUCCCUAAUCAACAUUUAAAGAUCCUUCCUCAGAAAGAGGAUUAUUAUUAACAAUAAUAUUAUUCUACUAGUGUUGAUUUUAGCUAAAUUCAUAUGAAUAGGCGAUUAGUACCUUUAAGCCAAAAAUUUAUUAGCAGAGGCUGACGGCAGCCUGACCAGCAUCAGGUUGCUGAUAACAGCUAGGCUAGACGCUGGGGCCAGUUACACAGAAGGCAUGUGCUUGUUUCUGCAGGCAAAUAGUCAAGGAGUUAAUAAGGAAACAACAUCUAAAAUGACUUGCGCUGUAUAUUCAUUUUCCCUUAGCUUAGUUGAAAACAGAUCAACCUAUUUACAAUUCAGAGUUGAAUUUGAGGGCUUAGAACCUAUUUUUCUGUUAACAUAAUGAAAAAUAAAUACAAAGUUGUUUUCUUUUUUCCAAUGGCCUUUAAAGUUAAGGUUUGUUUAUACACUGUAUGUUUCCCAAGGACAGAAUUAAAAAAAAUUUUCACUCCUCAUCUUUGUAUAAGAUAUCUUCAUAUCUUUUCCCAUGAAAAUAAUUCAUGUCGCUGAGAAAAAAAUCUUCUAUGAAUCACUGAUGAGUCUUUGAUGCUUAAUGUGCUGUCCAGCAUGUGCAUGGAGUUCUCUUGAAAUUUAGUUUAACAAGAGAAUCUGAUUUUCUUCCUAACAUCAUUAAAGUUUCCCCUUCAAAUUUCACUUAACAAGCAAAUGAAUGUUCUCCUAGCAUAAUUAUAGUUUCUUUUUUGAAUUUCAUUAAAAAAAAGUCAUCCAUUCUGUGUUUUUACACAAGAAGGAACCAAGUCAGCUGAACCAUGCUGUGAAUUAUUCCAAAUAUGGCCUGUAACAUGGUUUAAAACAUAAGCAUGGCAGGGCUCUCAGGGAGAGACAGCCUUCCCGGUGCUCAGGGAAACCGCGGCAGAAACAGGCAUACGUGGAGCUGGCUGCUUUCGGAACAACUCUGUAUAGAAAGCCAUAUUCUGCUAAGUUAGCUUGCAUGUACAUCUGUUCAGAAUUUGAAUGGUUGCUUUUUGGAAAGUCUUUGUCACGGCCAGCGAGCCUUUGACCGUAGGGAGGUUUUGGCAUGGUGCGCGUUUGCACCCAUCGUGCAGUGACUGCACAGCAAAUGGUCACACACUGAUGCAGAUCGGCCUCUGCCCACUGACAGCCCCGUGCUUAUGCCAGUUUAUAUCAACUUAAGCACCUGACCAAACUGGGGAAAUUCUUAGCGUACCGUAGGGGAUGCCCAGCAAUCACAAACACAUCAGCAAAACCGUAGGAUUGGUGAAAACACAGGUGGUGAAAUGUUGUGCGGUCCAAAAUGUGAGCGGCUGUAGUGCAGUCACGGCGUGGCGCGUGCCGGGAGGGGUGUCUGCCCUGGGGAGGGGAUCUUCCCUUGUGUUCAAGCACAACAGAGAAUUUUGCACUGCAUAGUUAAUCUUCAUCAAAUGUCACCUGAUCUUUUGAUACACUGGAAGUCCCAACCUAUUGUUUUUUAAAGACUCAAUCAAAAAUGAGCAGCAAACCUCUGGGAACAGGAGCAGAAGGAGGCUCUAGGGCCUCCCCAAACAGCUCUCGCCCACAUUUGAAAACUGCCGGUGUUGAAGCUCAGAUUUGGCAGCACGAACCGGGGCAGCGUUUUAGGGCUCUGAGAAGGUCCCUGUACGGAAGUGCCGGGUUUGUCACCUCUGCUCCAUUUCUCCCUCAGUUAUUUUCCUCCAGAGAGGCUGAUCCGGCCCCGGCCUCCACUGUCGCAGGGAGGCGGGAGGGAGAUUUUCCUGCUCAGACCUGACAAAUGAGCCGGGAAGCACAAGGUCUGACUGCCACUGUCUGCGCGUGUGUACCUACAUAUGUUGCAGCAGACGUUAUUACUCUGAUUAUUUUCCCCAUGUCAAGUUCUUGCUUGUUUAUUAUUUUCCCAGCCCCUCAUACCUUUCUGCAUUGCUGGCGGUUUCUCUCCAUCGUGUUUAAGCCCCUGCUUUUCUGUUUUUUUCUGCUGCGAGUUUGCAAAUCAUUUUCCUUCAGAAUAAAUGGCAUAUAUCCCUAACAUCUGAACUGGCAGAACGUGAAUAAUUAGAGUCGAGUGCAAGUAAUUUUUGAGUCAAGGCCUUAGUGUGUCAUGGGUUGUAAAAUUUAAUCUGCCAGCAGCUCCUGGCCUCGUAUCAAUUACAUACAGUAAAAUGAGGGAAAGUGUCCCAUAUUUCUGUGCAGUUAUGGGAAAUGCCAUGCUUGCGUUUUAACAUCACAUAUUAUCUCUGUUCUUAUCUGUAUUGCUAGGUCAUUUAGCCAGAAGUGGUAGGAAUUGUUUCUGUUACACGCGAGUGUGGAGUUGUUUUUUUUAAAAGCACCCAAGAGGGCUUCCUCUUCCUCCUCCGGGCCUGUGUGCAUCCAGCGUUUAUUUUUGUACUCCUUUGUUACUGGUAAUGGGAACUGCAGGCAGGUAGAGACCUAACCCCCACGUGCAGAGCUCCCAGGUCCCAGAGCAGCGAUUCUGUCCCGUUUGCUGCUUGGACAACUGGACGCUAAGUCAUUACCAGUGAGCAAAUUACUGGAAGGUGCAGUCAGCAGUUCCAGUGAAGGCAAUGGGCAGUGACGUGGUCAUCCUUGACUUGUAUCCUGCUUUUUUGAAGGUGUGAUGCAAUCCAGACGGAGAGAUCAAACAUCAGAACUGGAGGCAGAUGAAAUAGGUGAUGUGAUCCAACUGGCAACGCACUGCGGGAAGACAGUACCGGGUUUCCAGCUCCAGAUCGUGUUGCCAUGCAGCAAAAUAACCCAGUGGCUCCAGGCAUCUCUCCAGGCUGGAUCUGCUCCUGCCCCAGCCUGGGUUUUUGGACGAGCCCUGGGCUCAGAGUGCAGCGUUGGAGUACGGCCAUCGUGUACAGCUGCGUGAGCAAGGCAAGAAAGAUUCAUUUGGGAUGCAGCUGUUCUCAUUAUUGUUGAUCAUCUGGACUCACAAGCCCUCGUGAGCGUGUGGUGGUACUCGCCAAAGCCGCAGGCAGCCUCGCGUCGUGCCUCGCCGGUCUGGGGGAGCUGCUGCCUGCUGCUCCCCCCGGCCCCCCCGGAGCCGGCACGCGGCUCACGUCGCCCACCUCCGCUGUCACCGCUUCCCGCGUUUCGGGUAGGAAACUUCUCUUCCUCUACGUCAUAGAGCAGCGUGGUUCCCGCUACCAAUAUACACGUAAUCCUGGAGUUUAGGUUUGCUCAAACGCCUGUUUAAAUGAGGAGACAUAAUCUUCCAUGAACUUCAGUGAACUUUGGAUCUUUCACUGUUGUAUCCGUAUUGAUUUCCUUUUUUCUUUCAUACCUUUUUCUUCAUACCCUCGCGUGGGUGUCUCUGGAAACCGCAGGAGUUACAGGAGUUGCUGGGGAUGUAGUAAAUGCUCAGUACAGACCUAACUCUGCUCCCACUGAAGUCAGCGGGAUUUUUAAUGUUAAUUGUUGAUAUUGGUGAGAAUGCCAACAUGGAGCACAGUCAGAGGCUAGGUGCUGUCUUCACACGUGACAGAGUCUGUGUGGGUUUGAAGGACUGCUCCCCAGCAUACAAACCCUGAAUUUUCAAGCAUUCGGCAAAAUUCUUUACGUUUCCCACUGGUUUAGUCGGGAACAGAACUUUGCUGAUCAUGACAAAGGAUGAGCCGAAUCCCUAGACUUUGCUCUUCUCCAAUCCUCUGUGACCCAGAGUAUGAAAAUUAAACUAAUUGCAGCACUCGCAAGCGUACUGUGGGACUCCUGCCUGCACGUGCCCCCCGGGGAAGAGUGGGACAGCUGGAGAGGUCUUUUCCCUGCUCUAAUUUCAGUGAUUUUUUUUGAUUCACUUUGCUCUGCUGUGGGAAGAAAAAGGAAAAGGCAAAGCACCUGGACAAAUUGUUUCUGGCCCUGGAUACUAAUGGAAAGAAAAAUGUCAGAGUAGAUGAAAACGAGGUCGUUCUUGCUGAAGGAGGGCAGCAGAUGAGAUCAGAGCAGAGCCGCCAGCUCUGCCUGGCCCUUCGUUAGCGGCGCGAGAACGGCCAGGCUAAUAGGAAAGGCCACGAGUGGCAGCACUCGACAAACUGGGAUACACUCCGCAGAGGAAAAACCACCCUCUCCUCCCUGGGGAAAUCCUGGCUUGUUUUUCCUUGUAGCCAAGAAGUGGAAAAAUCAGAAGCUUCCAGCCAGCUCCCCGGCCAGGUUUUUAUGUUACAUUGCUGCCCAGUCUGCAGACAUCCCAUUUCAGCGCUGUGCCGGCUGCCAGUUUGGCUCUGGCAGCACGUCCACGCGAGACUCGGGCGCAGAUCGGAUGGUGAUGACGGUGUCAGUGUGCUUGUAGCUCCUGGGACUCCUUGCCUGCGUUAUGGAGAAAAUAAUUGUAGCAGCUAGCAAUAAAUAAUGAGGAUGAAACUUAAACUGCCAGCAGUUCGCAGAGAAGGGCAAGGGAGCAGGACGUGGCCACUCACCUGCCUCUGACGGACAGAGCUGGAUCCCAGCAGCCGAUGCCCAAGAUAAAGGAAUUAUCUGAAGUCACGGUGCUUUUCUGCAACCUCAUGUUUCCUUAUGUGUCUCUCCAGUUAAUUAGUUAUGCUCUUCUCCCAGUUAAUUAGCUCAAAGAAAAACAGCCCUUUGUACUUAGCCUUAUAAAUUACAAUCUUUUACUGUCUUAUAUUUUAUAAGAGAUGACACUUCCUGCAUUUUCUUUGCAGGAUCACAUUUACAAUUCUUACAGGUUUGGAAAGAAACUCACUUUGCCAUGCUGCCUAGCAUGGCGGUGGGGAAAGGCAUGUCAAAGUUACCUGCUUUCCGUUCAAAAAUAAUCAGAGGGACUGGGAGAAAAAUUUGUGAGGAUCAAAGAAGAUGAACGCUGUUUAGAAAAAGACUAAGUAAUGAAAAAGGUUACUGAAAAAAAUGCAUGCAAGCAGCAAAAAGAACUUCAGAUGUUCCUGAGAUCGCAUCUGAAAAGAACUGGCCAGUGGUCCCGUAGCAAGCUGUAGGAUGACAGCAAGUUGCUACAGUCCUUUUUAUGGUUGCAAUCACAUGCAAAAAGCUCAGAUGCAUCUUCUUAAAAUAAAUCAACAAAGGGGAUUGCUGCUUUUGGCCCGCUGCUGGGCAAGCGGGAACCACGAAGCCAAGUCAGGUUGGCAGCAAGUCUCCCCAGCUCGAGGCAGCGCAGCUCGCCCGAGACGGGGUGCAGGCGGUCGCCCUGCUCGUGCCUGGCCUCCGCUGAACAGCAGAUGGGAGGCCGGCCCCGUGCGGGACGUGUCCCGUGGGAGCAUCGUGCCAGGGCCCCGGGCCUGACGCCCUCCUCCUUGCCCGGGCUGGCGGGUGCGGGCAGCGCUGGGAAGAGGCUCUGCAGCGGCAGCCAUUGCUGCCCGUCGGCUCUGCUCCCUGCCCCGCGCGCAGGAAGGGGUGCGAUGUUGUGUCUUUCGAUUUUGCGAGUUUAAGAGAAAAAGAUGAAGUAGUUGCCAGUGACAGCAGCAAGAAAUACUCAAGGGAAUCUAAUGAUUUUUGAACGGUAAACAACAGUAAGUUAUCAGCAUUAACAUUUGCAGCAAGAGAAUGCAGAGCGUGAGAUCAAUCCCCUGCAGUCGAUGGUGUUUAUUCCUGAUUUACGCCGGGGCCCAGCUGCCCGCAGCCGAGUGCGUUGCGCCGGCCUCGCCGUCCGUCCAUCCGUCCGCCCGCCAGCGCUGGCUGCUGCGGCCGAGCCGUGUGCGGCAUGCCCGCUUGCAUGCAGAUCCCGCUGGGCUGGCAGUGCGUCGCGGAGGACGUGCUCGCUGCCGCGGGUAACGGCACACGUGCUUUCUCCUGCGUUCGGACCUUUCCGGCUCGUUUUGCAGAAGGGACACUGGUUUCCUCGAACAGCGCUCAGGACGCCGCUCUUCUCCCCCCUCUGCCGUGACCUUCUCGGAGGCUGCAGUGACGCGUUCGGACAUGGAGUUUGGGCUUGAUCUCUCUGCCCUCCAUGUCACAUCACCUUCAGGGCUUCAGUGCGGGGCAGAGCCGUGUGUCACGCCGGCGCUGACGCCGCUGAGCCGGCCUUGCGCUGCCCUUAGCUGGCCAGAACUGGGCAGGAUCUGCCCAGGAGGGCGACAGCGCAGUGACGGUUUGUCUUCCUGAUCGGUCCACCCCAAAAGUGAAAGAAUAUAGAAAAGGAAUUUAGAUUUGCAGAACCAUUUGCAGAACCAGGUUUCGUACAGGCUAUUUUGUCAUUCAGCACCGGAUUCUGGAACCAGAUAAAAAUCUCACCCUCUUAUUUUUGGAAAUGAGCCUAAACGCCAAAAUCCACACGGGUCCCUCGCACCUAAUUACAGCCUGUAUAAAGCUGUAACGGGUCCCAGCAGUGCCAUAUUAAUAGUAGAGAAUUAUUACAUUGUACAUAGUUUACAUUUAAUCUAGUUGUCUGGGUUAUUGGAGAAAAAGGCUCCAUAAAAGGAAAUCAGCCUGCUGUUGGAUUGAAUUUUUCUGGAUUAUGGAUUGAUUUUUUUAAGUUUAACGCAAGGAGAUGGUUACAUGGUACACUGUGUAUUCUGAGCAUCUAUUUAUUAAAGCUGCAUUGCACUAGAACGUCUGUUCAAAAGUACAACAGCGUCUAAAUGAAUAACACAUUAAUUCCCCACUCUCUGCUAUUUGCUGUUGCUUCCUGUGCCGCUGGAGCCGGCAUGUGCAGCAGGUUAAAAGAAUUCUCAACCUUCUAUUUAAUACAAUCAACUUUGUCAGAUGUUGUUAUUAUUUUCACUGAAUGCUGUAUCCAAGUGAAAUAUUUGCAUAAAAGCCUCAUUGACUCCUU
Long non-coding RNA from Dromaius novaehollandiae (emu), 10874 nucleotides. RefSeq lists it as uncharacterized. NCBI's taxonomy places the organism in Eukaryota, Metazoa, Chordata, Aves, Casuariiformes, Dromaiidae. The transcript is spliced from 15 exons. The record is from RefSeq and is a predicted model, not a curated record.